AUUGAACGCUGGCGGCAUGCUUUACACAUGCAAGUCGAACGGCAGCGCGGGCUUCGGCCUGGCGGCGAGUGGCGAACGGGUGAGUAAUGCAUCGGAACGUGCCCAGUAGUGGGGGAUAGCACGGCGAAAGCCGGAUUAAUCUCGCAUACGACCUGAGGGUGAAAGCGGGGGACCGAAAGGCAACGCGCUAUUGGAGCGGCCGAUGUCGGAUUAGCUAGUUGGUGGGGUAAAGGCUUACCAAGGCGACGAUCCGUAGCAGGUCUGAGAGGACGACCAGCCACACUGGGACUGAGACACGGCCCAGACUCCUACGGGAGGCAGCAGUGGGGAAUUUUGGACAAUGGGGGCAACCCUGAUCCAGCCAUGCCGCGUGCGUGAAGAAGGCCUUCGGGUUGUAAACCGCUUUUGUUCGGGAAGAAAUCCUCUGGGCUAAUACCCCGGGGGGAUGACGGUACCGGAAGAAUAAGCAACGGCUAACUACGUG
RNAcentral lists this ribosomal RNA (484 nucleotides) under uncultured bacterium. RNAcentral describes it as "partial 16S ribosomal RNA". It matches the Rfam family "Bacterial small subunit ribosomal RNA", at positions 29 to 507 of the family's 1533-position model. The record is from RNAcentral.